GUUCUGAUCGUACUUCCUGGGUACAGACAACAUGAUACACACAGCUCAGAUGGAUAGGAGGAGGAAUGUGUUGGUGCUGCAGUUCUGAUCGUACUUCCUGGUACAGACAACAUGAUACACACAGCUCAGAUGGAUAGGAGGAGGAAUGUGUUGGUGCUGCAGUUCUGAUCGUACUUCCUGGUACAGACAACAUGAUACACACAGCUCAGAUGGAUAGGAGGAGGAAUGUGUUGGUGCUGCAGUUCUGAGAGGUUCCUGAUGUACACAUGGUGGUUGUGGAGAGGGAGGAUAUGAUGUCAGAGGUUCCUGAUGUACACAUGGUGGUUGUGGAGAGGGAGGAUAUGAUGUCAGAGGUUCCUGAUGUACACAUGGUGGUUGUGGAGAGGGAGGAUAUGAUGUAAGAGGUUCCUGAUGUACACAUGUCUGGGUCGGCCUGUCCUGGGACUUUACAUUGAUAACAGAGGUCUUCUGGUCUCUGGUCUACCAGCAUCGGUCUCUGAUGGUAGAGAUGUCUGGGUCGGCCUGUCCUGGGAUGUUACAUUGAUAACAGAGGUCUUCUGGUCUCUGGUCUACCAGCAUCGGUCUCUGAUGGUAGAGAUGUCUGGGUCGGCCUGUCCUGGGAUGUUACAUUGAUAACAGAGGUCUUCUGGUCUCUGGUCUACCAGCAUCGGUCUCUGAUGGUAGAGAUGUCUGGGUCGGCCUGUCCUGGGAUGUUACAUUGAUAACAGAGGUCUUCUGGUCUCUGGUCUACCAGCAUCGGUCUCUGAUGGUAGAGAUGUCUGGGUCGGCCUGUCCUGGGAUGUUACAUUGAUAACAGAGGUCUUCUGGUCUCUGGUCUACCAGCAUCGGUCUCUGAUGGUAGCUGCUUUUCCAAAA
Molecule: long non-coding RNA, 876 nt
Organism: Oncorhynchus keta (chum salmon)
Lineage: Eukaryota; Metazoa; Chordata; Actinopteri; Salmoniformes; Salmonidae
Exons: 3
Source: RefSeq, a predicted model, not a curated record